Non-coding RNA from Zootermopsis nevadensis, 694 nucleotides. NCBI's taxonomy places the organism in Eukaryota, Metazoa, Arthropoda, Insecta, Blattodea, Termopsidae. The record is from RefSeq and is a predicted model, not a curated record.
AUGAAUGCUUAGCACCAGUCCGCCAUUUCCUUUCAGUGACAGGAUAUUCAAUGUUGGUAGUGCUGAAAGUGAUGGUAUAACGUUAAUUAAUUUACGUCGAGUUUGGUGGAAAGUAAUCUGUGCGUUAUUGUUGCAAAAAGUAUGUAUAAGUGUAGUGGAAUGAUACUAUCGUAAUGGAAGGAAGAUCAAAUUCCAAUAUUUAAGAUGGGUUGGGACAUGAAGAGGUAUUGUUACCAAACUGCUGUCUAGGUGUGCUCAGUGAUUUGAGCUAUUUGGAAAUAUUGAUAUGACAGCAGUCUCAGCCUUCAAGGUUCGGAAGUAUUAACUGAGGGAGGGAGGAGUGAUAGUACUUCUCAUUCUGAAUUGAAGAUUGUGGAGUCAUUUUGAAGAUAUACUGUACUGUACUGAGCGUUAUACUUCUGUAUAGUAGAGACCCUAACUGGACAGAAUGCAGGCUUGGAAUCAGUGGAAUAGUCAGGCUGCAGCAUCAGGCUUUGCUAUGGCAGGGUAUCCAUCCACUGCAACUGUACCCCCUCCAACAGCAGCUGCUGCGCCACAAACGGCGUAUCCAGUAGGCUAUCAGUAUUAUGGAACUGGACCAGGAUUGUCAUCUGUCACUCCAGACAUGUCUGGUUGCACUCAGCAGGAGUGGACUAUAGUCCAGCAACAGCAUUGGCAGCAGUGGCAACAGUGG